UUUGAGUUGUAAACACUAACCAACUCCGAUUUACCAAUUUGAACUUUCUCUCUCCUCUGUCACAACAAUGGCGACUACAGAAAUCGCAACCUUAGGGUUUCGAUUAACCCAAUUCCCACCUUUAUCUUCCAUGUCCAAUCGAAAUCCUAACAAUGCCGUCUCUUUCAAUUCGAUUCUCUCCAUUUGCAGAAACUUGAGCUUUCGCGUUUAUUCAUCAUCUAACAAACGAAUCAGGAGAACGAGGAAUUUUUGGUAAAUUUACCGAAGACGAGAAUCAGCUUGCUCUAGUUGGCAUUCAAGGACGAGAUCGCGCUGCCUCUCCUCAACCGCUUAAAGAAGUGGAACGUGCGGUUCAAGUUCUGGAAGAUGUUAAAUACUUAAAGAUGUUUCUGAUCCGCCCAAAACAUCUGAGCUUUUCCCCCCAGUGAAGAAAAGUAGAAAAUACAAUAAAAAUGGAAGAUUGGUUUUUGAUGCGUGUAUCUAAUUAGGUCACUCACUCACUCACUCACUCACUCAGACAUUUGUAUAGUUUCAUCAACAACCAGACAAUGUUGAGAUCUUUCAGUCUUCGUUCACUUGAUUGAAGUUGGUUUGAUAUCAUACAUCAGCACAGCUCAGUCACAACUCAAAGGUUAAUGGACUUGGACGACAAUACCAAUUAAGCAGUAAGUUUCAUCACCGUCUGCAGCUGGACCAGCUGUGAUGAAUAAGGGUUCAGGAGAUGUAUCAGGUCUUAAAAUCAGGUAUGAUGGAGGUCCCGCCGUCAUUUAGUUUGCAUGAUUCAGAUUAGUUUCUUUGUGCUUUUAGCUGCUGUAAUUAAAUUGAUAAUCAGGUAUAUGAUAGUAACCAGCUUUGUGUUCUUCGGUUUAUUGCAAUGUUAAAAUGUCAGAGGUGUAUAUUGUAGACUUGCAUUAUAUUUCAUUCUAAUGGUCCAAAUUACAUAGUUUGGUGAUUAGAUAAUUGUCUUUUUCUUAUAAUACUUAAACUAAUAAAUGAAGGCAAUAUUAUCUUAGUUUCCCUGUAUUACGUAUAAUUCCCUAUGAUUAGUGAGGUUAUUUAUUAGAUUAGCAUGCGGUGAUCUACUUAGAAUGUGCAGAUUCAGUCCAACCUUACAACAAAUUUCAGAAGCUCAAAAUGUGCAAAAUUCAGUUUUCACAAGUUGAAAUAGCACCUCGGGACAUUUUAGAUGGAUUUUUUGCUCCUACCAAAUAUCUCAAUGCAGAACUGUAUUAAAUGGUUUUAUUGCUUCAUAAUAUGCAUGGAAUACUGUAUGUAACUAUCCAGGAGGAUUUGCGCCCGCAUAUUACUCAUAUCUGAUUCUAUAUCCUUUACCCUUCUAAAAGCCAAAACAUGGCAAAUAAUAUUUCAAUUAAUGCCCACAAUGUCCCUAAAUUCCUUCUCCAAAAAAAUAGAAUUGAUGUUCAGUCUUCACAAUAAUGCGUUGACAGUUAUGCCCUUAUGGAUGACUCAGCUACUUUUCAAUCUAGCUGGCGUGUUUAUGUCAUUCACCUUCGUGAGAACGUGGGAUCGUCAUUUCUCUUAAAAUUCUUCAGAUCUUUCAAUCUUCCAGGAACUCUAAGAGAAGAGAUAAACGCCUUUAAUCAUCUUUAUAAAUGGCAUCUACAAGCUUCUCAAUGGCGUCUACAAGCUCCGUUAUUGAAUCGGUGAUCGGAGUUUCAUGUUAUCUAGCUUCGAGUUAUUCGCCAAUUCUCACUGUGACAACGUCAAUUGCGGUGAUCGUAGUGUUUGUGUUCAUUUUAUGGUAAAUGUAUGAACUGGAAAAUCUCUCUCUCUCUCUCUCUCUCCUUUUCAGUUUCGGAAAUUGUUUCGAUCUUGAUUAUUUUUUCUACACUAGCGUUUUUGAAUUUAAAUUUGAGUUUUGUUUUCUGAAUAAAUCUUGUUCUUGUUUGUAUUUGAGUGGAUUAAAAAUAUGAACUUUGAUUGUUAUAAUUAUGGAAUUGGUUGUGUUUGGAGUCUUUGGAUGAUGCUAGGAAAAUGGGAUAAAAUGUGAAAGAAUGUUGCUUGUAAUUGAUUAUGACGGCACAAUUUAUACGAUUUACAUUUGAGUUUGUAUCAUUGAAGCAGUUGACAGAAACAUCGAGUUCAACUUGCGCGUGCUUUGUAUCAAAAUUCAGACAUAUAUCUCUUGUAUGAUCCAUUUAGUGAUGUGGAUGCGCAUACUGCAACCAAUCUGUUCAAUGUAAACUUAAUGUUUUCUCUUUUUGGAUUUAAUUUCUCUUAUGUAGUAGUAGUACCGUUCUCUAAAAGAAGUGUAUCUUGAAUUGUACUAGCAAUAUAUGAAGGUAGCGGCUAUGAGGGAAGACGAUUUUUCUUGUGACCCAUCAAGUUGACUUCCUUCCCAAAUUCGACACAAUUUUGGUCAGUCGUAAUGUUAAAGAAAUUAUGGUUUGUAAAUUGUAAUUAUCCUCAAUAAAAUUAGCAAGGUUAUUUUUCUUCUUGCUCCAUUAUCUAUAGACGGACAAUUUGUCAUACUUUUAAGAGUUAUUCUUUGUGAACAUGUUGCGUCUGAGAAUAAGACUAAGAAAAUAUUUACUGCGUUUAAGAAUGAGUCUUUAUGAAUAUUUUUCCCUAGCUAGAACUAACUUCCAUGGUGUUUCUUGCUCUUCCAGCUUGUAUCCGAGGGAAAGAUCGUAAGAGCUUCUUACCAUGAGUUGCUUAUGACAAGUGAAGCAUUUCAAAACCUUGUCAAUAAAUAUGAUACUACUGCUUCUCAGAACUCCAAAGAAGUGUUACGUGAUACAGCUAAGACAGUAACAUCAAAGAUACUUCAGGAGGACACCAAAGAGAAUUUGAAUGUUAGUGAUCAAUUGAUUAAGCGAGAAGAAAGAGAAAUGGGAGAUGCUGGAAUCCAGCCUCACCUACAAUAUCUUAAAUAUGGAAAUGCUUUUCUAUACUUUCCACUAUCAAAUUUCAUGCAAUGUGUGUUUUUUCUGGGGCAGUUUGCCCAAAGUUGCUUGUUCGCUGCUAACCUUCAAGAAUCUAGCACCAUCAGCGAACCCAUCAUUAUUGUACUUUAAGGAGCUGGGAGUGGCUCGAUAUUCUUUCGGUUUGAAAGAACCUUUUUCUUAUAUCUUCUAAAUUUAAGGGCUUCAACAUCUAUCUUCUCCAAGUUGCUGGAAUCGCUUUUCAGGGCUCCAACGUCUUUCUAUGAUUCAACACCUAUGGGAAGAAUACUCAGUCGGGUUACCACUUGUUUAUUUGAAGAACUGUUGUAUCAUAUACUAUUCUGAUCACACCCUGGCUAUUAAGCGCAUUGGUUACACCCUGGGUAUUAUGGCUGGUUCAAAUUGUUCUGCCUCACUGAAAGAUACUCAGCAUUCAGUCCCUGGUGGAACAUUGGCUUCACAACUCACAACUCACAACUCACAACCACUGGUUUGUAUCUGAUCUCAGUUUUGAUAUUUGGGGCUUUUGCGACAAGAGAAAAGUUUCUAACGGACAUGUUUGUUAUUCUGAACUUUUGUGAGUUAUCCUGUUUAGUGUUUACAAAGAUAAUUGCCAACAACAAAACCCUAAGAAGUAAUAAUUUGACUAAGAAUUGGGUUCAUUCAAGGUUUUUUAUUAGAUGAAUGCAGUUUUGCUAUUUUGCGA
Spinacia oleracea (spinach) is the source of this 3612-nucleotide long non-coding RNA. RefSeq lists it as uncharacterized. The transcript has 5 exons. The record is from RefSeq and is a predicted model, not a curated record. Lineage: Eukaryota; Viridiplantae; Streptophyta; Magnoliopsida; Caryophyllales; Amaranthaceae.